RNAcentral lists this long non-coding RNA (569 nucleotides) under Citrus maxima (pomelo). RNAcentral describes it as "long non-coding RNA (CMAX_LNC003161)". The record is from RNAcentral. Lineage: Eukaryota; Viridiplantae; Streptophyta; Magnoliopsida; Sapindales; Rutaceae.
GCAAAUGAAAAAGAUUAUAUAAUGAAUGAAGACGAUAACAGAGGAUUCAAUCCAAAAUCAGAAGAGAAGCUCAUUUAUAUACAGAAUAUGGUGUAGAAUAAUUGGUCUCAGUAUCAGAUAGAGGCCCUCGCCCCUCAGGCUUAGCCAAUAUUCAAAACUGGAGAAUCUGAAACACAAACAUUAUACACUAAAUAAGCGAAGCAAAAUAAAGUGGGAUAAAUUAAACUUACACAUGCACAGAUGCACUGUUGUUGUUGCCUUAAAUGAACUUGUUAAUUAAACCACCGCAGAGUGCCAUAACUGCUAUAGCCAAGGCAGCCAGACACAACAGUAACCCCGCAGGCCACAGCAAAACGUUUCGACAACCUCAAAGCUCUUUUUGUCUUUUCCUAUGUGUUUCUGUGACUGUUAAGAACCAAAAAAACCAAACCCAAAAAGAAAGAAACAGAAAGGCAGCUCAGCACAGAGAGAGAGAGCAAGAGACCAAAAAAAACCCAACAUUGUCUUGCAUGCAUUUACAUGCAUCUCUCUUUCUUUGCAUGUACACAAGUGUCAUUGGUCCCCCCCCC